GGGGGUGGUGUUCACUGGGUUGGACUAGAGAACAGGGUUGGGACUGACUGGGACACGGUGGGUGUGGGGACAUGGGAAGACCUUCUUCUUUAACUGAAUCUGAAUUUGUAGGCUGAUUUCAAGUCCAAAACGAGGGGCGGGGGUGAUGACCACAGACUGAAGCGAGGCUGGGGAAGACCAGCGCGUCUACCCAGAGAGGACACAGGACAGGAGCUGCAGGGACAGUGGCAGGUCUGCUGGGCAGGAAUCCCAGACGGACGUGAGGACCACAGUGAGGGGACGGUGUCACGGGUCUGAGAUGAGGAGAGGUACCCUAGGGAAGGAGCCAGCGGCACCCACGGAGAAAAACCAGUAUCGGCCCAAAGAUCCGGUCACGUUGCCGGUAAGACCUCAAGGCUGAGGGCGGGAGGGUGUGAACAGAACGAUGCUCUAGUGCAGACUGGGCUGGGGGCACAGCAGGUGUCGGGACCACAUGCUCAAAGAAUGCGGUGCUUCCAAGAGGAUAGAGCCGGGUCGGUGUCGGUGUGGGGAACUCUUGGGAAUGUGAGGAACGGUGUUAACUGUUCAAGGUGCCAAUGGCAACCGAGAGAAGGAGAAGGUGACAGGCGGUGCCCGGGGAGUGAGGCCCGGGGAGUCUGCUGGGCUUCCACCGCAGUGGUUCUUCCCGAGGAUGGGGGGGGUGGUUUUCACCCGAGGGGGGCUGUGGGCGCGGCCCCCAAGGCAGGCCUAUCAAAACAUCUGAGGGGGAGCAGUGCUCUGCUCCAACAAGCACAAAACCAAAAAAACACAAAAAGAAACCCCCAAACCACGGCCCGAUGAUGAUGCUGAUAGGCGGUCUUGGGGGUCACGCGUCCUCGGGUGAGAAUCGCUGGGUGGAAGGGGCAGAGUGGAGGGCGGGCGGAGAGGUGAAGCUUGAGCAGAUGAGCCCCUGAGCCGGGGGUGCAUGGGGACAUCAGAGUCAGGACUGUCAGACACGGGGGAAAGGAUGUGGGACCAGGAAGACAGCGAGCAAAUGGAUGUAGCCGAGAAGGCACCUGGCCCAUUGGGGGCUGGGUGCAGAUUCACGUUCAGCGUGUAGGGAGUGGCGUGCCAAAGUGUUGUUCCCAAAGCUAGGGACGUUUCAGGACUCGGGCCGAGAGAGAGGAGAAUGGCGAUCAAAAGGAAGUUGUGUGAGCACAGAGCACGGGGCGGGCUGUCUACGCAGAAGGAAGGGGCAGGCGGGACAGGAGACCACAGGGCUGAUCAUCUGGGGGAGAGAUGCUGCCAGGGAGGCGGGAGGACCCAGGGCUCCUGCAGGUGGAGGCCGAGUGCAGUGGUGUUGGGCCAUGUGGGCAGGGGCGAGGGCGGGAGGGAGGGUGGAAGGGGAAAUGCUGUAGUGAAAGGAAAGAGGAAGGAGAGUCAGAGGACCAGGCUCCCGGAGAGCGCUGUAGGAAGAGUGUGCAACGAAGGGGUCCGAGUGGAAACAGGAAAGGUCGCAGGAGGGACGUGUGUGGGGCCCAGGCGGCCAGCAGAGUGUGGGUCCACAGGACAUGAGCAGGGGCUGGCGGGGGAGCGUGCGGGUUCAGUACCGUUAUGUCUGAAGCAGAGAUGACAGAGGUGAGUUGAGGGGGGGUGAGGGAGCGAGCAGGGAGCACACAGCAGAGAGGACGACGGAAUCCAGCUGAUGACCUACAGAGGGUAGCUAAUGUCUCACGACCUAGGACAUUUUCUUUCCUUGUAUACAGUAGAGGCACAAAGUGGGAGAGACCUGCAGUCCGGGCCCAGGCGAUGGAGGUCAGGUGAGAAGUCUUAGGGUGGGGGUGUCACCGGCAGUUAGCAUGAGGAAGGGCAGGUAUGGAGCCUUGUAAUUAGGGCAGGAGAGGCUUAUUGAGAGCUUCUGGUACCACACUGUACCAAGAGAGGGAUGGGAAAGAGCCCAAAGGAGGGACUGGACGUGGAGAAUCCAGGACCUUUGACCCCUAGACGAACUAGCCUGUGUCGAAGCCCGUGCGGGUGAAGGCACAUGAUCUGCAUCAGGCCAGCCAGGAGCCUGGGCCGGGUGGGAGGAGGCCCAGGGAGGAUGAGGGGGAGAGAGAGGGGCCUAGUGGGAAUGUCGGAGAGAGCGUGGUCCCUGCAGGGCACGGUGAGACUUAAAACGUCAGCAGGAAGCGCAGAGAAACAAGGACCUUCUGCCAGUGGCGGCCGUGACGGGGCCGCAUACUUACAGAUGAACUGGGACAGCAGAUGGAUUCAGCAGUGCGAGCUGGGGAUGAAGAAGCCAGCAAUGGAGCGAACGUGAGGUCAGGCCCGAAAGGAGCUGGUAGAUCGAGGAACAGACCGCUGCAGCCAUCCCGGGACGCCAGGCAGUGGCAGAAGUGGAAUGGGAAGCUGUAGACGUGGCGGGGCGCGUCUCAAAGACAAGAGCGGGAGCACAGGCCGAAGAUGGGCCGAGGAAGGUUCGUUCCACACCCCGUGUGGGGAGGAGACCGUGGCAUCCUGAGUGGCUCCGAGAAGGCAGUCUGUGAGAGCUCGGGGGUCAGGUGAGCAGACAGGAGGAGGAAGAUACAGCAGACGUGGAAGAGGGGGAAAGAACUUCCAAAGCUGCGAGGGAGGCAGGGUCGGCAAAGGGAGCACCUUGGGAAAGGAGGAGGCACGCGAAGAGCUCCCGGUCUCACGGGGCAAGAGGUGUGGCGUGUGCGGUAUGGAGGGCUGAUCGUAGGAGCGGAGACACCACAGCCAGAGGGUUUAAAAGCGGGGCCCCUCAGCGGCCAGCAGGAAAAGGGGCCACAAUGCAUGCAGUGAAACAGAGGAAACACGGCGGUCUCGCACAUUCAGAGGGGCUCUGCACAGAAACCACCAGCAGGUCACCUCAGGGACUCAGGAUGGGUUCAGGUGGAUGGAGUGCAGUGUGGGGGUAGCAGAUGUGUGAGUAAAGAUGGUGAAGGAGUUAAGUGUGAAUCGAGGCGAAGGUGACAUUUCACUAUUACCGAAUGCAUGCUUCUGUUCCGGGGGGGGGGGGGCUGACAACGGUGGCGGUCUGGCAUACAGAGCCUCCGCACAGGAAGCAGGGUGCGAGAGGAUGCUCAAAACCAGUGAGUAUCAUAGGGUCUGGUCUGAGAAGACGGCGUGCACAGCAGCGGGCCCCAGAGAGAAAGGAGUGGGAUGCCGAGGGCUUGGGGGGUGGUGCUCACGAUGCUUGAUCAGGUGGACAAAAGAAGGGGCCGCGCAGAACGCGAGGGAGAGCGAUGGG
Molecule: long non-coding RNA, 3229 nt
Organism: Felis catus (domestic cat)
Lineage: Eukaryota; Metazoa; Chordata; Mammalia; Carnivora; Felidae
Exons: 2
Source: RefSeq, a predicted model, not a curated record